CCACCGAGGCCGCCAGCGCCGGUACCCCAUUGGCCCUGGGUGCGAGGGGCGGGGCCGAGACCGUCUGCUCGCGGGCCGAGCCGAUUGGCCACGCACCCUGCAGUGCCGUCACUGGCGGGGCGCGACCGACCGCCCGGCUUGGCGCGGGCGGUGGCGGGGCGGGGACGUGGUGGCUCCUGUGGCCGCGGCUUGCGUCGCGGGGAAAGCGGGAGGAGCCGGCUGGCGGGCCUGGCGGCGUUUUCCGAGUUGAGUCUCAGGGAUUUGAAGACAUGGUACAGCACUUUCUGAGCAUGUUCCUCGCUUAGGAAUUUCCUUUCCCUGCUGGCUGGACAUUAAAUAGAUUUGUGAACCUUUAGAAGAAAUGGACAAGCUGAUCCUAAAAUUCGUAUGAGUUGCAAGAGACUACAAAGAACCAAAAGAGUCUUGAACAAAACAAAAUUGGAGGACUCACACCUUGAUUUUUAAGCUUACCACAAAGCUACAAUAAUCAAAACGCUGUGCUACUGGCAUAAGGAUAGACCCAUAGAUUAAUGAGAAUAAAUAGAGAAUCUAGAAAUAAACUUUCUAUUUGUGGUCAGUUGAUUUUUGACAAGGGUGCUGUGAUGGUUAAUUUUGUUUCAACCUGACUAGGCUAUGGUGCCCAGUUGUUUGGUCAAACACUAGUCUAGAUGUUGCUGUGAAGGUAUUGUGGAUGUAAGUAACAUUUACAAUUAGUUGAUCUAAGUAAAGCCGAUUACCCUCCAUAAGGUGAGUGAGUCUCAUUCAACCAAUGGAAGGCCUUGAUAGCAAAGACUGAGGUUUACAGAGAAAGAAGCAAUUCUGCUUCAAGACUGCAACAUAGAAAAACCUGCUGGCUUCCUUUGCAAAUUUCAGACUCCAGACUACAAAAUCAACUUUUAUCUGAAUUUCCACUUGUUGCCCUGCCCGACGAUUUCAGACAUGCCAGGCCUAACAAUCAUGGUACCUAAUUCUUUAAAAUAAAUCUCUCUAUAAUAUAUCCUAAUGGUUCUUUGGAGAAUGCUGAUGUAUAUAGGUACCAAGACCAUUCAGUGUGAAAGAACAGUCAUUUUAACAAAGGUUGCUGGUACAACUGGAUAUCCACAUGCAAAAGAAUGAAGCUGGACUGCUACUUUGCACCGAAUACAAAUCUCAAAAUGAAGCACAGACCUCAAUGUGGGAGCUAGAGCUAUAACAUUCUCAGAAAAACACAUAAGACCAAAUCUUCAUGGCCUUGGAUUAAGCAUGGGUUUCUUAGACAUGACACUAAAAUCACAAAAAGACAAAGGAAAAAAAAUAGAAAAAUAGGACUUUAACGUUUGUGCUUCCAAGGAAGCCAUCAGGAAAGUGAAAAGACAAUCCAUAGAAUGGGAGAAAUAUUUGCAAAUCAAACAUCUGAUAAAGGACUUGAAUCAGAAUGUAUAAAGAACUUCUACAAUUCUAUAGCAAAAAAACAACGCAAUUAAAAAAUGGCAAAAUAUUGAAUAGACACUUCCUCAAAGAAGAUAUAUGAAUACAGAUAGCUAAUAAGUACAUUAAAAGAUGCUCAACAUCAUUAGUUAUUAGGGAAAUGUAAAUCAAAACCGCAAUGAGAUACCAGUUCAUACCCACUCAGAUGGCUAUAAUAAAAAAGACAAUAGCAAGUGGUGGUACAGAGAUUGGUGGAGAAAUUGGAACCCUUAUACACUGCUGAUGGGCACAUAAAAUGGUGCAGUCAGUUUGAAAAACAGCUUGGCAGUUCUUUAAACGUUAAACAUAGAACUACCAUAUGACUCAGCAAUUCUACUCAAGUGUAUACUCAGGUGAUGUGGAAACAUAUGUCUACACAAAACUUGUAUCAAUACAUGAAUGGUCAUAGCAACAUUAUUCAUAAGAGCCAAAAAGAAUUAACAAUCCAAAUGUCCGCCAACAGAUAAAAUGUGGCUUAUCUAUACAAUGGGAUAUUAUUUGGCAAUUAAAAGAAAUGAAGUACUGACACAUGGUACAACGUGGAUGAACCUUAAAAACAUUAUAAGUGAAAGAAACCUGACAUAAAAAGUCACAUUUUUUUGGUUACAUUUAUCUGAAAUGUCCAGAAUCAGCAAAUUCAGAGAGACAGAAUGUGGAUUCGUGGUUGCCAGGAGCCUGGGGGAGGGGAGGGGGCAGGAGAGGAAGGGAGGGAAUGUGGAGUGACUAGUAAUGGGUAUGGAGUUUCUUUGGGGGGAUGAAAUGUUCUGGAAUGUGAGGGAUGCACAACUCUUGUAAAUAUACUAAACACUCAAUUGUACACUUUAAAAGAAUGAACUUUAUGGUAUGUGAAUUAUAUCUCAAUAAAGCUGGUAUUUUAAAAAGUGCUUUUUCUUAGAGAGCUGAAGGAAAUUGAUGCAGAUCUCAAUUACUGAUUUUUUUCCCUAUUUUUUCUAUUUUUCCACAAUAUAUUUAGCUCCGUUCAGAAUACGUGGAUGGUAACAUUCAUAACCCUCAAACCUUCUGAGCAUUCCUGAGCCAAUACGUGGGGCGAAGAGGCGAUCCAGAUGGGAUGUAGCCUGUAUAUUUUCCUCUCCAUUUACUUGCUAUUUAUGGCAAGUACCUUACAGUUUGGACACAAUGACAUACACAUUUUACCUCAUGCAUUAUGAUAACAUACAUAAUGGAAUAUUAAUUGUGACAUCAAUGCACAGCUCAAACUUGCAUCCACUGGCAGGGUAGAUUUUUAACCGUCUUCAGUUAAUAAGGAAGAAACAAACAAAAGAACUUCAUAAUAGUUCAUAUUCCUCAAUUCUACAUGUAGUACCUCUUCAUACGCUAUUUUACUAUAUUAGUAUUUAUUUAACAAACAUUUCCCUUGGUCAUUUAUUUAGCAAAUAUUUAAUGGCACCUUCUCUGAAGUGGGCACUGCAGGGGUUCGUAGUGAGCAAGUGGAACUUCACGGAGUUUACAAUCCUUUGAACGAAGCCAGACAAUAAAGUAAACUGAGUAGAUCAUUUCUUAUUGUGACACAUGACAAGAAGAGGAUAAUGGGAUCAUGAAUGACGGGGGAGGAGUUGGGUCUCCACCCAGAGGACACAGUCUUUUGAGGGGAGGUGAUGUUUGAGCUGAGACUUGAAUGGUGAGAAGACACAUGAAGAAACGGGGGAAAUCCCCCAAGCAGAGGAAACAGCGAGUACAAAAGCCCCGAGGCAAAGAGAGAGUCUGGUGUGUUCUAGCCAGGGAAGAAGGGUACAGCUAGAGGGGAGUCAGCUGUGAGGAAAGGGGCUCGGAGGUAAGCAGGGGCUAGAUGACCCAGGGGCACUGAGAUAGUUCAGUGGUGUGACGUAUUCUAAGUGGAAUGGGAAGCCAACGGGGUAAGUCAGGAAUGUGACCUGAAAAACAGUUUCAAAAGAUCAUUCUGGC
Long non-coding RNA from Orcinus orca (killer whale), 3369 nucleotides. RefSeq lists it as uncharacterized. The record is from RefSeq and is a predicted model, not a curated record. NCBI's taxonomy places the organism in Eukaryota, Metazoa, Chordata, Mammalia, Artiodactyla, Delphinidae. The transcript has 3 exons.